GACGAACGCUGGCGGCGUGCUUAACACAUGCAAGUCGAACGGAAAGGCCCUGCUUUUGUGGGGUGCUCGAGUGGCGAACGGGUGAGUAACACGUGAGUAACCUGCCCUUGACUUUGGGAUAACUUCAGGAAACUGGGGCUAAUACCGGAUAGGAGCUCCUGCUGCAUGGUGGGGGUUGGAAAGUUUCGGCGGUUGGGGAUGGACUCGCGGCUUAUCAGCUUGUUGGUGGGGUAGUGGCUUACCAAGGCUUUGACGGGUAGCUGGCCUGAGAGGGUGACCGGCCACAUUGGGACUGAGAUACGGCCCAGACUCCUACGGGAGGCAGCAGUGGGGAAUAUUGCACAAUGGGCGGAAGCCUGAUGCAGCAACGCCGUGUGCGGGAUGACGGCCUUCGGGUUGUAAACCGCUUUCGCCUGUGACGAAGCGUGAGUGACGGUAAUGGGUAAAGAAGCACCGGCUAACUACGUG
RNAcentral lists this ribosomal RNA (468 nucleotides) under uncultured bacterium. RNAcentral describes it as "partial 16S ribosomal RNA". It matches the Rfam family "Bacterial small subunit ribosomal RNA", at positions 28 to 507 of the family's 1533-position model. The record is from RNAcentral.